GACGAACGCUGGCGGCGUGCCUAAUACAUGCAAGUUGAACGCUAAAGCUUUAACUGGUGCUUGCACCGACCUAAGUUUUUAGAGUAGCGGACGGGUGAGUAACACGUGGGUAACCUACCCAUCAGAGGGGGAUAACACUUGGAAACAGGUGCUAAUACCGCAUAAUUCCUUUUACCGCAUGGUAAAAGGCUGAAAGGCGCUUCUGGUGUCACUGAUGGAUGGACCCGCGGUGCAUUAGCUAGUCGGUGGGGUAACGGCCUACCGAGGCGAUGAUGCAUAGCCGACCUGAGAGGGUGAUCGGCCACAUUGGGACUGAGACACGGCCCAAACUCCUACGGGAGGCAGCAGUAGGGAAUCUUCGGCAAUGGACGAAAGUCUGACCGAGCAACGCCGCGUGAGCGAAGAAGGUUUUCGGAUUGUAAAGCACUGUUGUAUAGGAAGAAUAAGGUAAACAGGGAAUGGUUUACUGAUGACGGUACUAUACGAGGAAGUCACGGCUAACUACGUGCCAGCAGCCGCAGUAACAC
Molecule: ribosomal RNA, 527 nt
Filed under: uncultured bacterium
Lineage: Bacteria
Description: bacterial SSU rRNA
Rfam family: Bacterial small subunit ribosomal RNA
Source: RNAcentral